Molecule: transfer RNA, 85 nt
Filed under: Felis catus (domestic cat)
Lineage: Eukaryota; Metazoa; Chordata; Mammalia; Carnivora; Felidae
Rfam family: tRNA
About the family: Transfer RNA (tRNA) molecules are approximately 80 nucleotides in length. Their secondary structure includes four short double-helical elements and three loops (D, anti-codon, and T loops).
Source: Rfam by way of RNAcentral
GCCUAGGUGGCUCAGUCGGUUGAGCAUCCGACUUUGGCUCAGGUCAUGAUCUCCUGGUUUGUGGGUUUGAGCCCCACAUUGGGCU